Molecule: transfer RNA, 78 nt
Filed under: Streptomyces sp. JV178
Lineage: Bacteria; Bacillati; Actinomycetota; Actinomycetes; Kitasatosporales; Streptomycetaceae
Description: tRNA-Thr
Rfam family: tRNA
About the family: Transfer RNA (tRNA) molecules are approximately 80 nucleotides in length. Their secondary structure includes four short double-helical elements and three loops (D, anti-codon, and T loops).
Source: RNAcentral
GCCGGAUUAGCUCAUUUGGUGUAGAGCGUCUGUCUUGUAAACAGAAGGUGGUCGGUUCGAAACCGACAUCCGGCUCAA